Priapulus caudatus is the source of this 401-nucleotide long non-coding RNA. RefSeq lists it as uncharacterized. The record is from RefSeq and is a predicted model, not a curated record. The transcript has 2 exons. Lineage: Eukaryota; Metazoa; Priapulida; Priapulimorpha; Priapulimorphida; Priapulidae.
AGUAUUGUCUCGAUUCUACUGUAUUGUAUGCACGCACGCACGCACGCACGCACAAGAGAUGAUGUGUUCCCGGUGCAUAUUUCAUUCAGCGUCAUCGUCAUGGUCUCCCGGCUGCUGCUGCAGCCACGAACAACUCCCCAUCUCGCCACGUCUCUGUCUUUGAAGGUAGUUCGUCUCUGUCUUUGAAGGUAGUUCGUCUCUGUCUUUGAAGGUAGUUGUCUCUGCGUUUGAAGGUAGUUCGUCUCUGCUUUUAAAGGUAGUCCGUCUCUGCUUUUGAAGGUAGUUCGUCUCUGCGUUUGAAGGUAGUUCGUCUUUUCUUUUGAAGAUAGUUGUCUCUGCUUUUGAAGGUAGUUGUCUCUGCUUUUGAAGGUAGUUUCCUCCCCUCCCCACCACCCAGACAC